UUCUAAGGGCGUUGAAGCAUGAUCGCAAGGACAUGUGGAGCGCUUAGAAGUGAGAAUGCCGGUGUGAGUAGCGAAAGACGGGUGAGAAUCCCGUCCACCGAUUGACUAAGGUUUCCAGAGGAAGGCUCGUCCGCUCUGGGUUAGUCGGGUCCUAAGCUGAGGCCGACAGGCGUAGGCGAUGGAUAACAGGUUGAUAUUCCUGUACCACCAUUAUUCGUUUUAAGCGAUGGGGGGACGCAGUAGGAUAGGCGAAGCGUGCUGUUGGAGUGCACGUCCAAGCAGUGAGAU
RNAcentral lists this ribosomal RNA (288 nucleotides) under Staphylococcus pseudintermedius. Its description in RNAcentral is "partial 23S ribosomal RNA". It matches the Rfam family "Bacterial large subunit ribosomal RNA", at positions 1239 to 1525 of the family's 2925-position model. The record is from RNAcentral. Lineage: Bacteria; Bacillati; Bacillota; Bacilli; Caryophanales; Staphylococcaceae.